Molecule: ribosomal RNA, 492 nt
Filed under: uncultured bacterium
Lineage: Bacteria
Description: partial 16S ribosomal RNA
Rfam family: Bacterial small subunit ribosomal RNA
Source: RNAcentral
AGUGAACGCUGGCGGUAGGCCUAACACAUGCAAGUCGAACGGCAGCACAGUAAGAGCUUGCUCUUACGGGUGGCGAGUGGCGGACGGGUGAGGAAUACAUCGGAAUCUACUUUUUCGUGGGGGAUAACGUAGGGAAACUUACGCUAAUACCGCAUACGACCUACGGGUGAAAGCAGGGGAUCUUCGGACCUUGCGCGAUUGAUUGAGCCGAUGUCGGAUUAGCUAGUUGGCGGGGUAAAGGCCCACCAAGGCGACGAUCCGUAGCUGGUCUGAGAGGAUGAUCAGCCACACUGGAACUGAGACACGGUCCAGACUCCUACGGGAGGCAGCAGUAGGGAAUAUUGGGCAAUGGGCGCAAGCCUGAUCCAGCCAUACCGCGUGGGUGAAGAAGGCCUUCGGGUUGUAAAGCCCUGUUAUUGGGAAAGAAAAGCAGCAGGUGAAUACCCCGCUGUUCUGACGGUACCCAAAGAAUAAGCACCGGCUAACUUCGUG